This 1075-nucleotide long non-coding RNA is filed under the name Malus domestica (apple). RNAcentral describes it as "long non-coding RNA (MDOM_LNC006618)". Lineage: Eukaryota; Viridiplantae; Streptophyta; Magnoliopsida; Rosales; Rosaceae. The record is from RNAcentral.
UCCGAUAAUAAUAGGUGCACCUAAGCAUAAUAUUGGGACCUAUUAGUAAAACUCCACUAAGAUAAUUAAAUUUGGGAAAACAGAGUGCGGACUUGGAAUCAGGGCGUUGAAAUACAUUAAGGAGGGUCUCGACAAAUUUUGUAAAAAGUCAACAGUCAACCCUAAAAAGUCAACCAAUACGCCGAGGUAGUCAAUUAUGUUAAAACUUUACAAUUUCACUAAAUGGAUGCCAAAAAUGGGCUUGGGGCGUCGGAAUUAGCCUAAGAAGGUUUCCAAGAACAUUUCAAAAAAGUCAACUAACUUUCAACAGUUAACUUUAACGGAAUAUUCCAUCAUCAGACAGAUUAUUCUGUUAAAGUUAACGGAAUAUUCUAAGAAAAUAUUCCCUCUAAAAUCUGAAAUGGACCCAGGUCGGUCCAGGUUAGGGUAAACAGGUCGUGGGCUUGGGCCUGUUCCAGGUUUUUUUUUUCCAGUCAGGUUGACCAGGUCCCUGUCGCGGGUCCAGUUGUCGAAAUCUGGGCAACGAUUCCAGAGGUCCAAACAAGCUCAAAACUCAACCAUUUUUCACACUCUUUCUACCAAAAUGAAGAAAAAUUAGUGUAGUAUAGGACUAUACCUUUUCCCAAGUUAGCCGUGGCCGGAGUUGGCCGGGAGAUUGGUCUGAAAGUGGUCUGAUGACCACAAUUUUCAUUUCCCGUAAGACUGGAAAAUUUCUCCCUAAUGUUGCUACGUUCCCAGGUUUUCCAAGACGACAUUCAUGGUUAAGUAGGAUUAGAUCGAGCUAUAAGAAAGGUUUGAGAAGUCUCGAAGCCUACCUUGGUCGUGGACGGAAGAAACUCACCAGAAGAAGUCAAACCGAUACAAACUCCUCCUUAGUCUGUACAUGCCCAGAAAGCUCAGUUCUCGAAUAGAGGUUGGUAACUGGUACUGUGGUGGUGGUUCAGUGGUCAGAGGGAUCGCUGGAGUGAUGAGGUGGUGUGGCGGUGUUACUGUUGCACCCUCUUGGUGCAAAAAGAUGAAGAUGAAAGACUUUGAGAUGAGAGAGUUUGAGAGUGUAGGGAGUAGGGUAAGGUGG